RNAcentral lists this ribosomal RNA (509 nucleotides) under uncultured bacterium. RNAcentral describes it as "bacterial SSU rRNA". It matches the Rfam family "Bacterial small subunit ribosomal RNA", at positions 501 to 1009 of the family's 1533-position model. The record is from RNAcentral.
CUACGUGCCAGCAGCCGCGGUAAUACGUAGGUGGCAAGCGUUGUCCGGAAUUAUUGGGCGUAAAGCGCGCGCAGGCGGAUUGGUCAGUCUGUCUUAAAAGUUCGGGGCUUAACCCCGUGAUGGGAUGGAAACUGCCAAUCUAGAGUAUCGGAGAGGAAAGUGGAAUUCCUAGUGUAGCGGUGAAAUGCGUAGAUAUUAGGAAGAACACCAGUGGCGAAGGCGACUUUCUGGACGAAAACUGACGCUGAGGCGCGAAAGCCAGGGGAGCGAACGGGAUUAGAUACCCCGGUAGUCCUGGCCGUAAACGAUGGGUACUAGGUGUAGGAGGUAUCGACCCCUUCUGUGCCGGAGUUAACGCAAUAAGUACCCCGCCUGGGGAGUACGACCGCAAGGUUGAAACUCAAAGGAAUUGACGGGGGCCCGCACAAGCGGUGGAGUAUGUGGUUUAAUUCGGCGCAACGCGAAGAACCUUACCAGGUCUUGACAUUGAUGGACAGAACUAGAGAUAG